Molecule: long non-coding RNA, 336 nt
Filed under: Gallus gallus (chicken)
Lineage: Eukaryota; Metazoa; Chordata; Aves; Galliformes; Phasianidae
Description: lncRNA (ENSGALG00010018966.1)
Source: RNAcentral
CAACUCCGUGGCACGUGGUGACUUUCUGCUGCAUUGUACCCAGAUUUUGCUUGGAAAUGGACCACAUCUCCAGAGAAUCAAAGGAGGCAAAUGUAGCAUGGAUCCUGAAAGCUGAUGAUGAGCACACAGAAUCCAAACCUGACUCACAAAAAGAACAAGACGGGUUUUAUUACAAAUGGAAAUAACAGGAUAACUCCAAACAAACAAGGAAGCUCGGCGGGAAGAGAUGAGAUUUGGAGAUGGGGAAUGGAUACUUUCAGGAGUUCAUACAUCCACGUGGGAGCAGCGCGCAGGGCAACAGAGGGUGCCAUUGUGCCAUUGUGCUCCUCCUGCAGG